This 495-nucleotide ribosomal RNA is filed under the name uncultured bacterium. RNAcentral describes it as "partial 16S ribosomal RNA". It matches the Rfam family "Bacterial small subunit ribosomal RNA", at positions 28 to 507 of the family's 1533-position model. The record is from RNAcentral.
GACGAACGCUGGCGGCGUGCCUAAUACAUGCAAGUAGAACGCUGAAGGAGGAGCUUGCUUCUCUGGAUGAGUUGCGAACGGGUGAGUAACGCGUAGGUAACCUGCCUGGUAGCGGGGGAUAACUAUUGGAAACGAUAGCUAAUACCGCAUAAGAGUAGAUGUUGCAUGACAUUUGCUUAAAAGGUGCAAUUGCAUCACUACCAGAUGGACCUGCGUUGUAUUAGCUAGUUGGUGGGGUAACGGCUCACCAAGGCGACGAUACAUAGCCGACCUGAGAGGGUGAUCGGCCACACUGGGACUGAGACACGGCCCAGACUCCUACGGGAGGCAGCAGUAGGGAAUCUUCGGCAAUUGACGGAAGUCUGACCGAGCAACGCCGCGUGAGUGAAGAAGGUUUUCGGAUCGUAAAGCUCGGUUGUAAGAGAAGAACAAGUGUGAGAGUGGAAAGUUCACACUGUGACGGUAUCUUAACAGAAAGGGACGGCUAACUACGUG